RNAcentral lists this ribosomal RNA (401 nucleotides) under Acinetobacter baumannii. Its description in RNAcentral is "partial 23S ribosomal RNA". It matches the Rfam family "Bacterial large subunit ribosomal RNA", at positions 1291 to 1691 of the family's 2925-position model. The record is from RNAcentral. Lineage: Bacteria; Pseudomonadati; Pseudomonadota; Gammaproteobacteria; Moraxellales; Moraxellaceae.
CGAAUGCUGACGUGAGUAACGACAAAACGGGUGAAAAACCCGUUCGCCGAAAGACCAAGGGUUCCAGUCCAACGUUAAUCGGGGCUGGGUGAGUCGACCCCUAAGGCGAGGCCGAAAGGCGUAGUCGAUGGGAAAAUGGUUAAUAUUCCAUUACUUCUGUGUAAUGCGAUGAGAGGACGGAGAAGGCUAAAUCAGCCUGGCGUUGGUUGUCCAGGUGAAAGGAUGUAGGCAUGUAUCUUAGGCAAAUCCGGGGUACUCUAUGCUGAGAUCUGAUAGCAAGCUGUACUUGUACAGCGAAGUGGUUGAUGCCAUGCUUCCAGGAAAAGUCUCUAAGCUUCAGUUACACAGGAAUCGUACCCGAAACCGACACAGGUGGUCAGGUCGAGUAGACCAAGGCGCUU